UCGCGCUCAUUCACUUCCGCCUCCCUCUCGGUCGCAACUGUUUUGCAUCUUGUUUCAUCGCGUUUCACGAUGCCCCGCUUCAACUACGAUUCCACCACGGCCGUCUGCAUCGCCACGGAAUAGGAGCUUUCUCGGUCAACCAAAUUGAAGAAGAGAUGUUAUGAUAUCGCUGA
Long non-coding RNA from Ostrinia nubilalis (European corn borer), 173 nucleotides. RefSeq lists it as uncharacterized. The transcript has 3 exons. NCBI's taxonomy places the organism in Eukaryota, Metazoa, Arthropoda, Insecta, Lepidoptera, Crambidae. The record is from RefSeq and is a predicted model, not a curated record.